GUAUAAAUAGCGAGAGAGACAGAGAGGACGACGGGAGUAUAAAUAGCGAGAGGGACAGAGAGGACGACGGGAGUAUAAAUAGCGAGAGGGACAGAGAGGACGACGGGAGUAUAAAUAGCGAGAGAGACAGAGAGGACGACGGGAGUAUAAAUAGCGAGAGAGACAGAGAGGACGACGGGAGUAUAAAUAGCGAGAGAGACAGAGAGGACGACGGGAGUAUAAAUAGCGAGAGGGACAGAGAGGACGACGGGAGUAUAAAUAGCGAGAGGGACAGAGAGGACGACGGGAGUAUAAA
Non-coding RNA from Pelobates cultripes (western spadefoot toad), 295 nucleotides. The record is from the annotation of a GenBank genome assembly. Lineage: Eukaryota; Metazoa; Chordata; Amphibia; Anura; Pelobatidae.